UAUAUAUUUUUAUAAGGAGAAGAUGAGUUUUAUAAAUUAUAAAGGGAUAAAACCAUUUGUUUGAUGCAAAGGGGGGAAGUAUGGUUGGAGUUGUCAAGCUUCUUUAUUUUGUGAUUAUCUUUCUUUGCUUAUUUCUUCUUGUAACAAACAUCGAAGGUAAACCAUUUUCAUCCUUUUUAAAUAUCCUUCUAUAGUUCAUUAAAUAAUUUUAUAUUGUUUUAAUUACAUUAUUUUAAUAUCGUUUUUACUUACAGCACUAGAGAAAAAAUGUUCUUGGGAUUCAGAAUGCCCCAAAGAUAUGUGUAGAUAUCCUGCAAAAGUUAAGUGUAUUUACCACACCUUUUGUAAAUGUAUGUCAAAUUUUAUUAAGCCCACUUGAUUUUGUAUAUAUAGUACAAUAUCCAAGAAAGUACUCAAAUACCCUUCUCUAAAUUCUCUUCUAUAAUAUAUCAAAUUUAAAGAACAUUGUAGCUAUCGUGUUGUACAACAAAACAGUGGUAAUAAAAGAAAUAAGGCAACCAUAAAUACUAUUGAGAUUGUAUUCUUUUCUCUUAAUUUCAUAUAUAUUUUUAUGAUUUUCACUU
Molecule: long non-coding RNA, 584 nt
Filed under: Lathyrus oleraceus (garden pea)
Lineage: Eukaryota; Viridiplantae; Streptophyta; Magnoliopsida; Fabales; Fabaceae
Description: Pisum sativum (pea) long non-coding RNA (PSAT_LNC019703)
Source: RNAcentral